GUGCUUACUUUGGCAGCACAUAUACUAAAAUUGGAACAACACAGAAAUUAACAGGGAUGGCCCUGACACAAAGAUAAUGUGCAAAUUCAUGAAGUGUUCCAUAUUUUU
RNAcentral lists this small nuclear RNA (108 nucleotides) under Aotus nancymaae (Ma's night monkey). The record is from RNAcentral. Lineage: Eukaryota; Metazoa; Chordata; Mammalia; Primates; Aotidae.